AUUGAACGCUGGCGGCAUGCUUUACACAUGCGAGUCGAACGGUAACAGGCCGCAAGGUGCUGACGAGUGGCGAACGGGUGAGUAAUGCAUCGGAACGUGCCCAGUCGUGGGGGAUAACGCAGCGAAAGCUGCGCUAAUACCGCAUACGAUCUAUGGAUGAAAGCGGGGGACCGUAAGGCCUCGCGCGAUUGGAGCGGCCGAUGCCAGAUUAGGUAGUUGGUGGGGUAAAGGCUCACCAAGCCAACGAUCUGUAGCUGGUCUGAGAGGACGACCAGCCACACUGGGACUGAGACACGGCCCAGACUCCUACGGGAGGCAGCAGUGGGGAAUUUUGGACAAUGGGCGCAAGCCUGAUCCAGCAAUGCCGCGUGCAGGAAGAAGGCCUCGGGUUGUAAACUGCUUUUUGUACGGAACGAAAACGGUCUGGGUUAAUACCCUGGGCUAAUGACGGUACCGUAAGAAUAAGCACCGGCUAACUACGUGCCAGCAGCCGCGGUAAUACGUAGGGUGCGAGCGUUAAUCGGAAUUACUGGGCGUAAAGCGUGCGCAGGCGGUUUUGUAAGACAGGCGUGAAAUCCCCGGGCUUAACCUGGGAAUUGCGCUUGUGACUGCAAGGCUGGAGUGCGGCAGAGGGGGAUGGAAUUCCGCGUGUAGCAGUGAAAUGCGUAGAUAUGCGGAGGAACACCGAUGGCGAAGGCAAUCCCCUGGGCCUGCACUGACGCUCAUGCACGAAAAGCGUGGGGGA
This 745-nucleotide ribosomal RNA is filed under the name uncultured bacterium. RNAcentral describes it as "bacterial SSU rRNA". It matches the Rfam family "Bacterial small subunit ribosomal RNA", at positions 28 to 768 of the family's 1533-position model. The record is from RNAcentral.